AAGCUGGAGCUUGCUCCGGCCGAUUUAGUGGCGGACGGGUGAGUAACGCGUGGGUAACCUGCCUCAUACAGGGGGAUAGCAGUUGGAAACGACUGGUAAAACCGCAUAAGCGCACGGUGUCGCAUGACACAGUGUGAAAACACUCCGGUGGUAUGAGAUGGACCCGCGUCUGAUUAGCUAGUUGGUGAGGUAACGGCCCACCAAGGCGACGAUCAGUAGCCGGCCUGAGAGGGUGAACGGCCACAUUGGGACUGAGACACGGCCCAAACUCCUACGGGAGGCAGCAGUGGGGAAUAUUGCACAAUGGGGGAAACCCUGAUGCAGCGACGCCGCGUGAGUGAUGAAGUAUUUCGGUAUGUAAAGCUCUAUCAGCAGGGAAGAUAAUGACGGUACCUGACUAAGAAGCACCGGCUAAAUACGUGCCAGCAGCCGCGGUAAUACGUAUGGUGCAAGCGUUAUCCGGAUUUACUGGGUGUAAAGGGUGCGUAGGUGGCAAGGCAAGUCUGAAGUGAAAAUCCGGGGCUCAACCCCGGAACUGCUUUGGAAACUGUUUAGCUAGAGUACAGGAGAGGUAAGUGGAAUUCCUAGUGUAGCGGUGAAAUGCGUAGAUAUUAGGAGGAACAC
This 624-nucleotide ribosomal RNA is filed under the name uncultured Lachnospiraceae bacterium. Its description in RNAcentral is "bacterial SSU rRNA". It matches the Rfam family "Bacterial small subunit ribosomal RNA", at positions 70 to 709 of the family's 1533-position model. The record is from RNAcentral. Lineage: Bacteria; Bacillati; Bacillota; Clostridia; Lachnospirales; Lachnospiraceae.